RNAcentral lists this ribosomal RNA (375 nucleotides) under uncultured bacterium. Its description in RNAcentral is "bacterial SSU rRNA". It matches the Rfam family "Bacterial small subunit ribosomal RNA", at positions 521 to 895 of the family's 1533-position model. The record is from RNAcentral.
UAAUACAGAGGGUGCGAGCGUUGUCCGGAAUCACUGGGCGUAAAGGGCGCGUAGGUGGUUUGUCAAGCGUGAUGUGAAAUCUCCGGGCUUAACUUCGAGUCUGCCAUUGCGAACUGGAAGCUUGAGUCUGGUUAGAGGUCGAUGGAAUUCCCGUGUGUAGCGGUGGAAUGCGUAGAUAUCCGGAAGAACACCGGUGGCGAAGGCGGUCGACUGGGCCGGUACUGACGCUGAGGUGCGCGAAAGCGUGGGGAGCAAACAGGAUUAGAUACCCUGGUAGUCCACGCCGUAAACGAUGGUCAAUAGUCCUUGGGAGNCGACCUUGAGGGCCGCCGCUAACGCAUUAAGUUCACCGCCUGGGGAGUACGCCGCAAGGCU